This 451-nucleotide ribosomal RNA is filed under the name uncultured bacterium. Its description in RNAcentral is "bacterial SSU rRNA". It matches the Rfam family "Bacterial small subunit ribosomal RNA", at positions 43 to 520 of the family's 1533-position model. The record is from RNAcentral.
CAGGCCUAACACAUGCAAGUCGAGCGGCAGCGCGAUCUUCGGAUCGGCGGCGAGCGGCGGACGGCUGAGUAACACGUGGGAAUGUACCCCAAAGUGAGGAAUAACUGCCCGAAAGGGUAGCUAAUGCCGCAUAUGAUCUUCGGAUUAAAGGCUUCGGCCGCUUUGGGAACAGCCCGCGUACGAUUAGAUAGUUGGUGAGGUAAUGGCUCACCAAGUCGACGAUCGUUAGUUGGUCUGAGAGGAUGACCAGCCAGACUGGAACUGAGACACGGUCCAGACUCCUACGGGAGGCAGCAGUGAGGAAUCUUCCACAAUGGGCGAAAGCCUGAUGGAGCAACGCCGCGUGCAGGAUGAAGGCCUUCGGGUUGUAAACUGCUUUUAUGAGUGAAGAAUAUGACGGUGUGUAAAAGAAGAGCGCCUGGUCUAAUCAUAGGUGCGCCGCAGCACGCGG